CUGAGGCCGACAGGCGUAGGCGAUGGAUAACAGGUUGAUAUUCCUGUACCACCUAUAAUCGUUUUAAUCGAUGGGGGGACGCAGUAGGAUAGGCGAAGCGUGCGAUUGGAUUGCACGUCUAAGCAGUAAGGCUGAGUAUUAGGCAAAUCCGGUACUCGUUAAGGCUGAGCUGUGAUGGGGAGAAGACAUUGAGUCUUCGAGUCGUUGAUUUCACACUGCCGAGAAAAGCCUCUAGAUAGAAAAUAGGUGCCCGUACCGCAAACCGACACAGGUAGUCAAGAUGAGAAUUCUAAGGUGAGCGAGCGAACUCUCGUUAAGGAACUCGGCAAAAUGACCCCGUAACUUCGGGAGAAGGGGUGCUCUUUAGGGUUAACGCCCAGAAGAGCCGCAGUGAAUAGGCCCAAGCGACUGUUUAUCAAAAACACAGGUCUCUGCUAAACCGUAAGGUGAUGUAUAGGGGCUGACGCCUGCCCGGUGCUGGAAGGUUAAGAGGAGUGGUUAGCUUCUGCGAAGCUACGAAUCGAAGCCCCAGUAAACGGCGGCCGUAACUAUAACGGUCCUAAGGUAGCGAAAUUCCUUGUCGGGUAAGUUCCGACCCGCACGAAAGGCGUAACGAUUUGGGCACUGUCUCAACGAGAGACUCGGUGAAAUCAUAGUACCUGUGAAGAUGCAGGUUACCCGCGACAGGACGGAAAGACCCCGUGGAGCUUUACUGUAGCCUGAUAUUGAAAUUCGGCACAGCUUGUACAGGAUAGGUAGGAGCCUUUGAAACGUGAGCGCUAGCUUACGUGGAGGCGCUGGUGGGAUACUACCCUAGCUGUGUUGGCUUUCUAACCCGCACCACUUAUCGUGGUGGGAGACAGUGUCAGGCGGGCAGUUUGACUGGGGCGGUCGCCUCCUAAAAGGUAACGGAGGCGCUCAAAGGUUCCCUCAGAAUGGUUGGAAAUCAUUCAUAGAGUGUAAAGGCAUAAGGGAGCUUGACUGCGAGACCUACAAGUCGAGCAGGGUCGAAAGACGGACUUAGUGAUCCGGUGGUUCCGCAUGGAAGGGCCAUCGCUCAACGGAUAAAAGCUACCCCGGGGAUAACAGGCUUAUCUCCCCCAAGAGUUCACAUCGACGGGGAGGUUUGGCACCUCGAUGUCGGCUCAUCGCAUCCUGGGGCUGUAGUCGGUCCCAAGGGUUGGGCUGUUCGCCCAUUAAAGCGGUACGCGAGCUGGGUUCAGAACGUCGUGAGACAGUUCGGUCCCUAUCCGUCGUGGGCGUAGGAAAUUUGAGAGGAGCUGUCCUUAGUACGAGAGGACCGGGAUGGACAUACCUCUGGUGUACCAGUUGUCGUGCCAACGGCAUAGCUGGGUAGCUAUGUGUGGACGGGAUAAGUGCUGAAAGCAUCUAAGCAUGAAGCCCCCCUCAAGAUGAGAUUUCCCAACUUCGGUUAUAAGAUCCCUCAAAGAUGAUGAGGUUAAUAGGUUCGAGGUGGAAGCAUGGUGACAUGUGGAGCUGACGAAUACUAAUCGAUCGAAGACUUAAUCAAAA
Molecule: ribosomal RNA, 1533 nt
Filed under: Staphylococcus aureus
Lineage: Bacteria; Bacillati; Bacillota; Bacilli; Caryophanales; Staphylococcaceae
Description: bacterial LSU rRNA
Rfam family: Bacterial large subunit ribosomal RNA
Source: RNAcentral